This 466-nucleotide ribosomal RNA is filed under the name uncultured bacterium. RNAcentral describes it as "partial 16S ribosomal RNA". It matches the Rfam family "Bacterial small subunit ribosomal RNA", at positions 28 to 507 of the family's 1533-position model. The record is from RNAcentral.
GAUGAACGCUGGCGGCGUGCUUAACACAUGCAAGUCGAACGGAAAGGCUCCUGCUUGCCGGGGUACUCGAGUGGCGAACGGGUGAGUAACACGUGGGUGAUCUGCCCUGCACUUCGGGAUAAGCUUGGGAAACUGGGUCUAGUACCGGAUAGGACCGCAUUUUGGAUGGUGUGGUGGAAAGUUUUUUCGGUGUGGGAUGAGCUCGCGGCCUAUCAGCUUGUUGGUGGGGUAAUGGCCUACCAAGGCGUCGACGGGUAGCCGGCCUGAGAGGGUGUACGGCCACAUUGGGACUGAGAUACGGCCCAGACUCCUACGGGAGGCAGCAGUGGGGAAUAUUGCACAAUGGGCGCAAGCCUGAUGCAGCGACGCCGCGUGGGGGAUGACGGCCUUCGGGUUGUAAACUCCUUUCGCUAGGGACGAAGAGUAAUUGACGGUACCUGGAGAAGAAGCACCGGCUAACUACGUG